AAUUAAAUUUGUAUGGGCCGCGACACCCAUCAAAUUUUGGCGCCGUUGCCGUGGACCAACGGUUCGGUUUUGGGUCUUUUGUUGUGUUAGUGUGUGUUGUUUUGUCUUGUUUUGUGAGUGUGAUGUUCUGUUUUGUGUGUUCGUCAUUGUGUGUUGCAUUUAGGUAGCUUUAGUUGCAUAUUAUCAUUGCAUUCUUCCCCUUCCCCUUUUUCUAUAUGUCUACAACAACGAUCCUGGAUGGAAUGAUCCUAGCUUGAGAUGGUAUGAUGCUCCACAGAAAUAUCAGCCAUUCCAGAAUUCUUGUGUUCCU
Molecule: long non-coding RNA, 310 nt
Filed under: Vigna radiata
Lineage: Eukaryota; Viridiplantae; Streptophyta; Magnoliopsida; Fabales; Fabaceae
Description: long non-coding RNA (VRAD_LNC002932)
Source: RNAcentral